AACAAACGCUGGCGGCGUGCCUAAUACAUGCAAGUCGAACGGGGAAAGCUUUCGGGUGAGUACUAGUGGCGCACGGGUGAGGAACGCGUGGAUAAUCUGCCUUAGAGUGGGGGAUAACUAGUCGAAAGAUUAGCUAAUACCGCAUAAGACCACGAGAGCUGCGGCUUUUGAGGUCAAAGGUUUUUCGCUCUAAGAUGAGUCCGCGUAAGAUUAGCUAGUUGGUGAGGUAACGGCUCACCAAGGCGACGAUCUUUAACUGGUCUGAGAGGAUGAUCAGUCACACUGAAACUGAGACACGGUCCAGACUCCUACGGGAGGCAGCAGUAGGGAAUAUUGCACAAUGGAGGAAACUCUGAUGCAGCGACGCCGCGUGAGUGAUGAAGGCCUUCGGGUCGUAAAGCUCUGUCGCAGGGGAAUAACACAAUGAAGGUACCCUGUAAGAAAGGAUCGGCUAACUUCGUG
This 462-nucleotide ribosomal RNA is filed under the name uncultured bacterium. Its description in RNAcentral is "partial 16S ribosomal RNA". It matches the Rfam family "Bacterial small subunit ribosomal RNA", at positions 29 to 507 of the family's 1533-position model. The record is from RNAcentral.